Small nucleolar RNA from Lupinus angustifolius (narrow-leaved blue lupine), 106 nucleotides. It matches the Rfam family "Small nucleolar RNA Z279/snoR105/snoR108". From Rfam's summary of the family: This family includes the plant snoRNAs known as Z279, snoR105 and snoR108. All three are members of the C/D class of snoRNA which contain the C (UGAUGA) and D (CUGA) box motifs. The record is from Rfam. Lineage: Eukaryota; Viridiplantae; Streptophyta; Magnoliopsida; Fabales; Fabaceae.
GGGAUAUGAUGAGUGGUUAAAUGUCGCAAUAAAAAAUGCGAGUUGGGUGUUCGCCCAAGCCUGGUUACGACAACUGGGCACCCUCUUAUUAUUCCAAUCUGAUCCC